CAGAGGGGGCGAGCGUUAUUCGGAAUUAUUGGGCGUAAAGGGCGCGUAGGCGGCCUUUCAAGUGACGGGUGAAAUCCCUCGGCUUAACCGAGGAACUGCCUGUCAGAUUGGAAGGCUUGAGACCGGGAGAGGUGAGUGGAAUUCCCAGUGUAGCGGUGAAAUGCGUAGAUAUUGGGAGGAACACCAGUGGCGAAGGCGGCUCACUGGACCGGUACUGACGCUGAGGCGCGAAAGCGUGGGGAGCAAACAGGAUUAGAUACCCUGGUAGUCCACGCCGUAAACGAUGAGUGCUUGGUGUAGCGGGUAUCGACCCCUGCUGUGCCGAAGUCAACACAUUAAGCACUCCGCCUGGGGAGUACGGUCGCAAGACUG
This 372-nucleotide ribosomal RNA is filed under the name uncultured organism. Its description in RNAcentral is "bacterial SSU rRNA". It matches the Rfam family "Bacterial small subunit ribosomal RNA", at positions 526 to 896 of the family's 1533-position model. The record is from RNAcentral.